Molecule: long non-coding RNA, 6636 nt
Organism: Aquila chrysaetos chrysaetos
Lineage: Eukaryota; Metazoa; Chordata; Aves; Accipitriformes; Accipitridae
Exons: 2
Source: RefSeq, a predicted model, not a curated record
GCCUUGCUGUGGUUCCUUUUGCCGGUGGGCGACACAAUGGCCACGAUCAACUCGUCCUCCCGCAGGGAGAGGAAAGUUUCCUUCCAGAGUAAAUCCUGCUUCUUCAAAGUUUCCAGUUGCUGCCUGGAUUGAAGCGCCUUAUCUCUGAAAGCAGAUCUGACAGCUCUCCCCCGUUCAGAGGCUUCAAGUUAACUGUGAUCAACAGAUGAGAACUAGUCGGUCCCUGACUUUGUUUCACACAUAACUACGGCACUCAGUCAGGAAGCACUUUGCCAGACAUAAUACAGAGCAAUGUGUGCGUCUUUCUCUUGGUCCUAAUGCCCUCACUGUUCUUGUCCUAUCAAAUCAAAACUUUGCAAAAGCUGUAGGAGGUGAAAUAUAAGAAGCAAAACAUUGUAUUAGAAAAGAAAUCAAGGCACGCCACGAAUCACUCUACUUCUGAAUAGCCGUAUUAAGCUAAGAAUGCUCAGAGCAAGAAGCAAGAAUUUUAUAAACUGAGUAAAAGACGGAGUGCACAUGAUUUAUUUAAGGUUAGAUUUAUUCAUAUGGUACUGUGCUAGCUGGAGUAUAUGAGUAUAUUUCACAUUCAAUAAAUAUUUACAGCUGUAGGGAUUUUAACACUGACAUAAGGAUGCCAAAUUAUCACCUGGCAGACUGGAGUUGUCUUCUCAUCCAUAAAUUUGGUAUUGCAGAACAAGCAGCACUUCAAGUUUUCAUUAGUCCAGGAAUAACAUGUAGAAAGCCUGGGCUGGAACAACAGCUACUGACACUGAAAGAAAACAACAACUUCUGUGAUUAAAAGGGGAGCUCAGUCUCUGAGGUCUGUUUGCUAAUAUUGCUGGCAUGGGUGCUACUGGGCAUGGACUGUGGCAUUUUUUGCUGCGAGAUGGAUGCUUGUCCAAUGGGAAAAGGGGUGAGACAGUCCACAUUCUUCAGUGUCACAUGCCUCUUGGUCUGGCAGAGACCAGGUAUGGAUGUAACUCAGGUGUUACCAACCCUUUUGAUGCUGAGAUCAUGGGAUGUGGUUUUUUGCAUAUCUUGUAAUAUUUGAUGAGCAGAAAGCUCCAGCUCCAGUAGCGAUGUGAUUACUGGAGAACUUCCACGUUCACCUUUUGUAAAAAAGUACACUUCUAGGUAUUAUAGGUAAAAGAAAAGCCUGAAGACAUGAAUGCAGUAUACUCUAAAGGGAACCAAGGAUUUGUUCUUUUUUUUUUCUCUUCCCCAUUACUUCCCUGUAAGGUGUUCUGUAAGUUCAGCCUAUGGUUCCUGGUAAACAGCUUCCAAAAAAUUAAAAAUGAGAGGACACCUACUUUCAAAUUAAAAUGAGUCAUGGCCUUCAAAAGGAAGGACGGGAUAGAGCACCUUAAAAUUGCUGGAGGCAUAUAGUGUCUCUCACUUCUGUGCGUACUCCCCUAACCUUCUUAUACAGAAUGCCUUGAGGUAGUGUGACCAGUCUGCUGUGUCUUGGCACCUUCCCUACCUCAGCUGUUCUUUAAAAGGUAUAAUACUGCUUUAAUCAUAUCAUAUUUUGAUACUUCACCAUUGUGUCUGUCUCCCCUUUUUAGCUUAAAUUCAGAGAAAAGUAACAUCCCAACCCACCUUCAUCCCUAAGAAUAUUACUCUUUAUCCUGCUUUUCAUAGGGAGAAAGAAGUGUUGAUGUUUUCCAUUCAGCAGGGAAGCAGCACACAUUUGCAUUUAAAAAAUCUGAGUUCAAAAGCAUUCAUUUAAAUAACAAUAUGUGUCAGCCAUAGAAAGACAAAAUGAAAUGGAAAUGAAGAGACCUGUCUGAGGCACUCUGCAAAAAGCUGGCACCAGUGACUUGCAAAAGGUUCAGUUCCACAGAGUCCCAUUAUCAGGCAUAUGGAAGAAAAAAGGAAAGAAAAGAAAAGAAAAGAAAAGAGAAAAGAAAAGAAGAAACUUAAGAGUGUGUGGAAUACAUGGGAGAAAGUAUUACCGGCUUUUUUUCUUUUUUACUUUUCUGAUGUACCCAAGUAUUUUGAUUUAAUUUAAUUAAUAUUUUUGCCCUGGCUAAAAUAUUAUAUCAGGGUGCUGUAACAACUCUGAUCAAGAUAAUUCUAGCCUGCAGUGGUAACUGCUGUAUAAAUUCUGUCCUGGUAUGUUCUGUGUUGCUGAGCAAAUCCACUGGGGUCUCUUGUGCAGCUAUGUUUCAGCUAUACAUGAAAAGAGACCCAGUUAACAAAUGUACAGCAAUCUGCUACUUUUGGGACAGAGCUGAUGACAGGUAAUGUUAUCACUGAAACAUAUGCAUAUGGAUCUGACCUUUGAAUAUAUCCUGUCCAUUUUAACAAAGAAGAAACGAACAAUUACAGAAGAUGUUUGGAGGUCACUUUAGUCAAUUAAAUGUGCAAGUAUAAAACACUGGGUGGCACACUUCCAGCAGCCUCUAUUCCCUGUCCAGCAUGGAUCUCUGUUGAAACUUGCUCACAACCAUCCCCACUUCUGCACAACAAGCCUUCCUGAACCAGCUCCCAUCAACCAGUCCGUUUUCCAACUUCCUCUCUUAAAAAUGAGCCAGGAAAGCACCAUGGUUUUCCACUGCCAGCAUACAAAAGAGAGAUUGUCUUUCCAAUGGAUGAGCCUUUCAGUGUCUGAGAGGACACAUCUUGUUUCCAAAAUGCACUUGAAGAGCAGCAUCACUUUCUUAUCAUGUCCCCACCUGGAAGUCAAGAAGACCACAUCCAUCAUAUUUUCUUUCUACCUGUGUUUACUAAAAAGCAUGCUACAAAUUAGGCCCUUCACUGGGACAUGGGAUGUGUUGCUCCUCCUGCCUAGCUGUGGCGGAGUCGCUCUCCCCAGGCAUCCUGGGACACUUUCCUCUGCAUCCUUUGAUGGAAGAGGAAGGAGCACUGCAUGUCCCAGGCUCUACGCAGAGGCCUAAAGCCACUUCCUCCUUCCCCACUCCCACUCUCUUAGUGCUGCUUCAUGCACGUAGCCCAUGAAAGAGGCUGCCCACAAAAGGUAUUGUCCUUGGACUGCUGUUCUACAGCAGACCCUAGAGCUCCUCAGUCAGUGGGAGAGGAACAUGUACAGGCUGCGCAAGUGUUCCGGAAAGGGCCAGCCUCCGGUGCCAAUGUUGGCCAGUGCCAAUAUUGGCCAGUGCCAAUAUUGUGUUGUCUUUCCUGAUGGUCAACCCAUGCAAGUGCUAAAAGACUUAGGCUCCUACCAGUCCUGGUCAGGCACACCCAGUUGUGGAAGGUAUACAUACCUUCAGUAGAUACAAAGCUAAGCUGUAUUGACUAAUCCAUUCUUUAAUGCUUGCUUAUGCCUCUGAUUGGUGAGAAAGAAAUGCUCACUAAUUGCCAAGAGCUAGAACAUGAAAUCAAAUCUAGGUCUUAGUAUCCAUUUGAAAAGUAUUAGGAAACAUAGUUGCUUUAUCCAGAGUAAUAAACCUCUCAGUCACUGUGGUGUAGCUGUUUGUACUUACCCUUUCCUCUCCACCUCAUUUUGGCUUCGUUUUUGUACAAACCAUUCCCCAUCACAUACUUGUUAAAUAUUAUGUGACAUGUUAUGUUAUCGGUAUGUGAAGAAACAACACAUACUUUCAAUGUGCAGAGCCCAUAUUUAACUGCCAGGAAAAUAACAAAGCAAGAACAAAACCAAGGCUGGAUGGAAGAAAGAGCGUGUGGACAGGUUGUUACUUACUCUUUAAUAAACAUCUUGGAUUGAUUUACACUCCUAUGCCAAAAGCAGAUGUGCCACCUUCCAUUUAAAGACUCAACACGUAGCAGCACUCAUGGUUUCAUAGCUGCAUGUAUUAUAUGCCACAGCUCUUUGUGCAUUUUAACAAUGGCUUUGUUUGCACAGAAGUGAAGAAAGUCAGUGCAUAAAAUGAGACUGAUUACAUGGUGCACAGGAUCUGUGGUGGUUUUAUAAUCAAGUUACUUUCCCCAUUCUUCCCAGGAUACAAUAAGAAAUAUGUAAUUUCAGAUUAUCACAAUAUAUAAUUUAUUUGCAGGCAUUACAGAUGUUUUGUGUACUUGGCAUUGUACCAAAUAUUGUUCAUUCAAUGACAUUUUCUAAUAGCAAGUUAAUAAUAAAUUAGAACAAGAUUGUGUGGAACUUGGUUUUGGAGGCUAUCGAAGCUCGAUAAAAUCUGUUGAUCACUGGCAGGGAUUUUGGCACUAGCAUUGUGAUUUAUAAGAUGUUUGCCAACCUGCCAGUGAAGGAAAUGCAGCUGAAAUUACAUUUUUACAAGAUUUCUGCUCAUAAAUCACAUGGUCAAUGUAAAAUGGAGCAUGGAAGCCAUGGACCUUUGCACUGCUUUGCAAAAGCAGUUCUGUGGGCAUGAAGGUCAGCAGCUCUUGGUGGAAAGUAGAGGGAACAUAUCACAGGAGUGACAGCUUCUGGAUUUAUUGCACCACAGCCUCUGGCUAACUCAGAAAUGGUAGCUCUCAGGACUUUAGGGCAGUAGUAUGUACUCUGUGCCUGAAACCUAGCGUCUAACACAGCCUUAGUUACCAGCUAUCUGUGAGGGGUGAGACUUUUGAUCACCAUUAACUCAUCUAGGAAUGAUACAUCUCAAGCUCUGUGGGCAACACACAUGCUGUUGCUACCUCCUGCCUCUUGUACUCAACCGCUAUUAAUAUCCUUAAGCUGGAGAGGGUUCUGUAUACCUCCACCCCCCAGUACACCAACCUGAGGUAACCUGAAUCCAGGUCUAAACUGGUUGGGACUAUUUUAGUGUCAACAUCCUUCACUAGAAAAUCAUCCCACGUCGACCGUAAAAUCUAACCCACUGUUAGAGACAGUGGGACAGGUUCUUAGCUGGCUCUAAAUUGCUGUAGCUGCACAGGUAGCAAUGGAAGUCAGGUGGUUUACGCUUUUGGAGUGGCUGGCCUGGCCUCUUUAGCUUUAAAAAUGAAACAAAUGAGGUAAGGGAAAUUCAUCUGUCAUGUAGUAUUAACAACAUCAGUAGAGUUACUUCAGGGAUAAAUUCAGCCCUAUGGAUGGAGGCUCACAAGAGGGAAAUCUCCACCACUGGUUCCCCCUGGGGACCUCUGCCUGUAGAGUUUCAUCUGUGGUUGGAAAUUUACUUUAAUUCCACAGAACAGGCCAUGAAACCAUUUGCAAACAGAGCAUCUCUAGAAAUCUGAGUGGUACUAAAGACAUCCACAGCAAAGCCUUUCUUCCCUGCCAAGUACUCUCUCCCUGGUGGGCAGCUCUAACUUCAUGUCUACUCUGUUUCUUUCUGCAUAUACAGGAGAUACAUAAACAACGUAUGUUUCCCAGAAACUUUAAGUACAGACAGCAUUUAAAAGUCAGAAUAUUCAUAUGGAGAGGCUGUCCCCAUAAUAAGUAUUUUUAGUUAAAAUGGUGUUUAGGUUAAGUGAAAAGAAAAAGCUUUAAAUGGUUUUUGCAUCUCUUGACACACUGAAGUAUUGAGUGACAUGUGGUUACAUAACUGAUCGCACCUUUCAAUGCAAUGGUCAUACACAUCACCAAAGCUGGAAAUUACCUUUUUUUCUCUAAAUAGUUACAUAUUUGCAUGUACUUGGUAUAGUAAAUAGCUGCUUUUCAGAUACCUGCUGAAUAUUAAGGGUUUGAUUUAUCAGGGAAGUUGGCAGAGAGUAUCAUAGUUGUGAAAACCCUGAUGAGAAGAAAAUAUUUAAUAAUAGUGUGAAGAGCAAACAGUUUCACUGUUGCUGUGGUGGAUUAAGAGCUGAGUAAAGCCCAAGUUAAGUCACUGCAGGUGUGCAGCUUAAUGAGCUGCAGUUGGGUAGCAGGUGAGCAUAAACUGAGAGCACACAGGGCAUAUUUGGGAAUGCUGUUAUGAUAGAAGAGCUGGAGUGAACAUGGGAUAGAUGUUUGAGGUAAAGCUACAGUAGAUAUUAUUUUUCUGUGCUUUCAUUUUUAAUGUGAGGAAAAUACAGAGAAAAUGAAAAUAAGCUAUGUUAAUAUCACAGGCGCGUGAGUUGGGCCUAUGACUUCUCUCCAUAUCUCCCAAGCAAGACCUAUAUUCUUUAACUAUUUGGUAAAAGGAAUGCGGAAAAUACCUAUUUGUGCAAGCCUGUUGUCUUUAUUAGUGUUUUUUUCUUUUAAAAAUACCAAUUUAUAAAAUAUAUUACAUUCAUAAGAAUUAACACUGCAGUUAUGAUGCAGUUCAGCUGUGUGUAUGUAAAAGUUAACUUUCAAGAAUAAAGGUCUAGAUUCCUUCCCCGCUCCCCCCCAGCACUGUUGCAGUGCAGCUCAUAAUGGGAUGGAUAGUCUAUAAAAUAUGACACAUUGUAUAGUGAUGUAGAUCUUCGAAAUGCUUGUUCAAGAAUCCAAAACAAAUCCUGUGCUUUUCUUUGCAUUUGUUUGGGAUCGUUGAUGUUCAUGUAGAGUGAAUAGAAGUUAAAUGUAAAGCAGUAUUAAAAAAAUGAAGCUGGGCUUCAUGCCUUAGACAUUCUAGGUAAAGUAGGUUUAGCCUAAAGAUGCAUAUAUGCGCUGCCACUUAUAUCUGUGGGAGCUGUGUGUGUGGCCUACAUAUGUAAGAGCAGAAUUGAAUUUAAGAAGAAAGAAAGGACAUGCGUAUGAAUGUAUGUGUAUAGAACUUCAGUCUGUGUAUAUACUAUAUAUAAGUGUGUGUAUAUAUAUGACAAUAUAAAUAUAUAAAAUAAAACCAACCUGCUCUA